This 725-nucleotide long non-coding RNA is filed under the name Homo sapiens (human). RNAcentral describes it as "non-protein coding lnc-RFESD-1:1". Lineage: Eukaryota; Metazoa; Chordata; Mammalia; Primates; Hominidae. The record is from RNAcentral.
UCAUAUCAUGUACUGUCUUCAUAUACAGAAAUCUUCUCAUCACAUUGACUUUGCUUAUACUUACAUGUGCAAUGAAAGGACAUCAACAUAUCAGUAAGAAUUUAGUAAGCUACUAUCAGUGGUUUCUGAGCAAAUAUGUGAUCCACUGUCCCCUCCAAAUAUGCCACUCAGUACUUUAAGGAGAGGAGUGUCAAAAAUAAAACAGAGAAAAAUAACUUCAGAAAUUCAGAACCACUAAGGACUGCAUUAAUUAAACUUACUCUGUAAGUUUACUAAUGAUGAAGAUGAUGAUGAUGCUGAGUAUUCAAGGCACGCGGUGAGAACGGAAAAUUCAUGAAAUAUGAGAAGACUUAAACCAGUUUAUUUCACCGAAGAAAUGCCUCAAGGAAGUCACCUGCCUCACUGGUAUUCUCAGCCAUAUAAUAGAGAGUUUUGGUAGAGCUAUUUAAGGUGCUCCAGCUACAAAUGCAUUUUUUCAUCAUUUGUCAUCCACAAAACAGUGACCAGACAGAACACAUCCAGAAGAUAUUUGAAAGACACCUUCAGAGCCCUCUCCCCAGAAGUAGAGUGGUGAAAAAUGACAGACGGUGAUGGAGUAAGAAAAUCUCACCCUGCAGCACUUACAUUAUGACCUUAUAAUAUUUUGGUUUGUGUUUAAUUAUCUUCUUAUGCCAAUAAUCUUAUGCAUCUUAUGUUAUUUCAGAUAAUAAACUUAGACAAAAGAA